GCGUGGUAGAACUAUUAAAGAAUUUCGGUCAUCGAUGGGGAUGCGUUCCAUUAGGUUGUUGGCGGGGUAACGGCCCACCAAGCCUUCGAUGGAUAGGGGUUCUGAGAGGAAGGUCCCCCACAUUGGAACUGAGACACGGUCCAAACUCCUACGGGAGGCAGCAGUGAGGAAUAUUGGUCAAUGGACGAGAGUCUGAACCAGCCAAGUAGCGUGAAGGAUGACUGCCCUAUGGGUUGUAAACUUCUUUUAUACGGGAAUAAAGUGAGGCACGUGUGCCUUUUUGUAUGUACCGUAUGAAUAAGGAUCGGCUAACUCCGUGCCAGCAGCCGCGGUAAUACGGAGGAUCCGAGCGUUAUCCGGAUUUAUUGGGUUUAAAGGGAGCGUAGGCGGACGCUUAAGUCAGUUGUGAAAGUUUGCGGCUCAACCGUAAAAUUGCAGUUGAUACUGGGUGUCUUGAGUACAGUAGAGGCAGGCGGAAUUCGUGGUGUAGCGGUGAAAUGCUUAGAUAUCACGAAGAACUCCGAUUGCGAAGGCAGCUUGCUGGACUGUAACUGACGCUGAUGCUCGAAAGUGUGGGUAUCAAACAGGAUUAGAUACCCUGGUAGUCCGCACAGUAAACGAUGAAUACUCGCUGUUUGCGAUAUACAGUAAGCGGCC
This 657-nucleotide ribosomal RNA is filed under the name uncultured bacterium. Its description in RNAcentral is "bacterial SSU rRNA". It matches the Rfam family "Bacterial small subunit ribosomal RNA", at positions 188 to 848 of the family's 1533-position model. The record is from RNAcentral.